AUCUAGCUGACGAGUCCAAAAUAGGACGAAACGCGCGUCCUGGAU
Non-coding RNA from Schistosoma rodhaini, 45 nucleotides. Lineage: Eukaryota; Metazoa; Platyhelminthes; Trematoda; Strigeidida; Schistosomatidae. The record is from Rfam.